Molecule: small nuclear RNA, 107 nt
Filed under: Sciurus vulgaris (Eurasian red squirrel)
Lineage: Eukaryota; Metazoa; Chordata; Mammalia; Rodentia; Sciuridae
Source: RNAcentral
GUGCUCGCUUUGGCAGCACCUACACUAAAAUUGGAACGAUACAGAGAAGAUUAGCAUGGCCCCUGCACAAGGAUGACACACAAAUUUGUGAAGCAUUCCAUAUUUUU